This 611-nucleotide ribosomal RNA is filed under the name Pseudarthrobacter oxydans. RNAcentral describes it as "bacterial SSU rRNA". It matches the Rfam family "Bacterial small subunit ribosomal RNA", at positions 53 to 680 of the family's 1533-position model. The record is from RNAcentral. Lineage: Bacteria; Bacillati; Actinomycetota; Actinomycetes; Micrococcales; Micrococcaceae.
CCAUGCAGUCGACGAUGAUCCCAGCUUGCUGGGGGAUUAGUGGCGAACGGGUGAGUAACACGUGAGUAACCUGCCCUUAACUCUGGGAUAAGCCUGGGAAACUGGGUCUAAUACCGGAUAUGACUCCUCAUCGCAUGGUGGGGGGUGGAAAGCUUUUUGUGGUUUUGGAUGGACUCGCGGCCUAUCAGCUUGUUGGUGAGGUAAUGGCUUACCAAGGCGACGACGGGUAGCCGGCCUGAGAGGGUGACCGGCCACACUGGGACUGAGACACGGCCCAGACUCCUACGGGAGGCAGCAGUGGGGAAUAUUGCACAAUGGGCGCAAGCCUGAUGCAGCGACGCCCCGUGAGGGAUGACGGCCUUCGGGUUGUAAACCUCUUUCAGUAGGGAAGAAGCGAAAGUGACGGUACCUGCAGAAGAAGCGCCGGCUAACUACGUGCCAGCAGCCGCGGUAAUACGUAGGGCGCAAGCGUUAUCCGGAAUUAUUGGGCGUAAAGAGCUCGUAGGCGGUUUGUCGCGUCUGCCGUGAAAGUCCGGGGCUCAACUCCGGAUCUGCGGUGGGUACGGGCAGACUAAAGUGAUGUAGGGGAGACUGGAAUUCCUGGUGUAGCG